RNAcentral lists this ribosomal RNA (113 nucleotides) under Acanthosepion pharaonis. Lineage: Eukaryota; Metazoa; Mollusca; Cephalopoda; Sepiida; Sepiidae. The record is from RNAcentral.
UAUGGCCAUAACACAUUGAAGCAUCGGUUCUCGUAAGAUCACCAAAGUUAGGCAACGUCUUGCCUGGUCAGUACCUAGAUAGGUGACCGCUUGGGAAUAACAGGUGUUGUAAG